GACGAACGCUGGCGGCGUGCCUAAUACAUGCAAGUCGAACGCUGAAGGAGGAGCUUGCUUCUCUGGAUGAGUUGCGAACGGGUGAGUAACGCGUAGGUAACCUGCCUGGUAGCGGGGGAUAACUAUUGGAAACGAUAGCUAAUACCGCAUAAGAGUAGAUGUUGCAUGACAUUUGCUUAAAAGGUGCAAUUGCAUCACUACCAGAUGGACCUGCGUUGUAUUAGCUAGUUGGUGGGGUAACGGCUCACCAAGGCGACGAUACAUAGCCGACCUGAGAGGGGGGUCGGCCACACUGGGACUGAGACACGGCCCAGACUCCUACGGGAGGCAGCAGUAGGGAAUCUUCGGCAAUGGACGGAAGUCUGACCGAGCAACGCCGCGUGAGUGAAGAAGGUUUUCGGAUCGUAAAGCUCUGUUGUAAGGGAAGAACGAGUGUGAGAGUGGAAAGUUCACACUGUGACGGUAUCUUACCAGAAAGGGACAGCUAACUACGUG
Molecule: ribosomal RNA, 495 nt
Filed under: uncultured bacterium
Lineage: Bacteria
Description: partial 16S ribosomal RNA
Rfam family: Bacterial small subunit ribosomal RNA
Source: RNAcentral